Molecule: unclassified non-coding RNA, 144 nt
Filed under: uncultured Asteromella
Lineage: Eukaryota; Fungi; Ascomycota; Dothideomycetes
Description: sequence contains ITS1
Source: RNAcentral
CCAAUUUUAUCGGGGGGACUUCGGUCCCUGUCUGAACCCUUGUCUUUUGCGUACUAUUUGUUUCCUUGGUGGGCUUUGCCUGCCAAUAGGACAACUAUUAAACCUUUUGUAAUUGCAAUCAGCGUCAGAAAAACAUAAUAAUUA